UGAGUACGAGAUGCUACGGCAUCGAAGCAGUCUAUGUCAUACUUCCAAGAAAAGCUUGCAAUGUCAUAAACAAAUAAUGCCUGUACCAUAACCGACACAGGUGGGUAGGUAGAGUAUACUAAGGGGCGCGAGAUAACUCUCUCUAAGGAACUCGGCAAAAUGACUCCGUAACUUCGGGAGAAGGAGUGCCUUAUUUUUAUAAGGUUGCAAUAACAAGAUCCAAGCAACUGUUUACCAAAAACACAGGUCUCCGCUAAGUCGUAAGACGAUGUAUGGGGGCUGACGCCUGCCCAGUGCCAGAAGGUUAAAGAAGUUGGUUAGCAUUAGCGAAGCUGAUAACUGAAGCCCUGGUGAACGGCGGCCGUAACAAUAACGGUCCUAAGGUAGCGAAAUUCCUUGUCGGGUAAGUUCCGACCCGCACGAAAGGCGUAAUGAUUUGGAUACUGUCUCGGAGAGGGGCUCGGUGAAAUAGACUUGUCUGUGAAGAUGCGGACUACCUGCACCUGGACAGAAAGACCCUAUGAAGCUUUACUGUAACUUGAGAUUGAAAUUGGACUUUAUCUGCGCAGUAUAGGUGGGAGACGUUGAAAAUAUUCUUGCGGGAAUAUUGGAGUCAUCAGUGAGAUACCACUCUUAUAAUGUUAGAUUUCUAACUUUGUAUCAUUAUCUGGUCAAAGAACAGUUUCAGGCGGGCAGUUUGACUGGGGCGGUCGCCUCCCAAACGGUAACGGAGGCGCACAAAGGUUUCCUCUGAACGUGUAGAAAUCGUAUCUAGAGUGUAAAGGCAUAAGGAAGCUUGACUGUGAGACCUACAAGUCGAGCAGGGACGAAAGUCGGUCUUAGUGAUCUGACGGUGCUGAGUGGAAAGGCCGUCACUCAACGGAUAAAAGUUACUCUAGGAUAACAGGCUGAUCUCCCCCAAGAGUUCACAUCGACGGGGAGGUUUGGCACCUCGAUGUCGGCUCAUCGCAUCCUGGGGCGGUAGUACGUCCCAAGGGUUGGGCUGUUCGCCCAUGAAAGCGGUACGCGAGCUGGGUUCAGAACGUCGUGAGACAGUUCGGUCCAUAUCCGGUGUAGGCGUUAGAAUAUUGAGAGGAGCCUUCUUUAGUACGAGAGGACCGGGAAGGACAUACCUCUGGUGUACCAGUUAUCGUGCCAACGGUAAACGCUGGGUAGCCAUGUAUGGAGAGGAUAACCGCUGAAAGCAUCUAAGCGGGAAGCCCACCUCAAGAUAAG
This 1236-nucleotide ribosomal RNA is filed under the name metagenome. Its description in RNAcentral is "bacterial LSU rRNA". It matches the Rfam family "Bacterial large subunit ribosomal RNA", at positions 1564 to 2808 of the family's 2925-position model. The record is from RNAcentral.